ACUCAUGUAAUUUAAGGAAGUGUCAUAUUUUAGUUUAAAUAUCCAAUCUGUGUGUGUGUGAUUGUGACUAAUUUUUCUGUUUAAUUGGCAGAUUUGAAAGUUUGUUCUAGUGGGAAAAAGAAGGGAAUUGUUUAUGUGGUUGUUGGAGCCGUUGGAGCAUCAUGCCUGGUUGCCAUUAUACUGGUAAUUCUUUGGUGGGAAGGAAACUUGCCAGGAAAAUUGCGCAGGAAAAGAGGUCAAGAAAACAAUCAGCUUAAUCUGGAUUGGCCUACAAGGCUUAAGAUCUGUAUUGGGAUAGCUAGAGGUCUAGCUUUUCUCCAUGAAGAAUCAAGACUUAAGAUCGCUCACAGAGACAUCAAAGCUACAUAUGUGCUACUUGAUGGGAAUCUGAAUCCUAAAAUAUCUGAUUUUGGAUUGGCUAGGCUUGAUGAAGAAGAGAAGAGCCACAUCAGCACCCGAGUUGCUGGAACCAUAGGAUAUAUGGCACCAGAAUAUGCACUAUGGGGUUACUUGACUGACAAAGCAGAUGUUUACAGUUUGGGGUUGUUGCUUUGGAAAUUAUU
This is a long non-coding RNA of Populus trichocarpa (black cottonwood), 563 nucleotides long. RefSeq lists it as uncharacterized. The record is from RefSeq and is a predicted model, not a curated record. The transcript has 3 exons. NCBI's taxonomy places the organism in Eukaryota, Viridiplantae, Streptophyta, Magnoliopsida, Malpighiales, Salicaceae.